Molecule: long non-coding RNA, 490 nt
Organism: Pseudophryne corroboree (corroboree frog)
Lineage: Eukaryota; Metazoa; Chordata; Amphibia; Anura; Myobatrachidae
Exons: 3
Source: RefSeq, a predicted model, not a curated record
ACCCGCCGGAGACUGAGGGGAAGGAGAGGCACAGGCUGCGCUCUCCUUCCCUCACACAGGACGGCAGCGGCCAGCGGCAGCGGUAUUGAUGGGCCAAAAUAUCUGGCAGCUAUAGAAGUGGGUGAAGAUACAGCCAGCCUGUCCUGGGAAGCUGCUCGAGCUCAGAUAGAUUGAUAUAUAUUAUCAUACGCAUCCCCUGAUGGAUUCUGUAAGGAGGUGACUGUGAAUAAAAAGAAGACCUCCACUGCUCUGACUGGCCUUACCCCCGGCAUGGAGUAUGUCUUCCAUAUAUGGGCAGAGAAGGGCAACAAGAGGAGCAAGAGAUCCAGUGUUACAGCUUUGACAGGCGGCAAUCAUCAUGUAUGGAGAUCAUAUUGAUGCUUCUAAGAACUUGAGCUGGACUCCGCCUAUUGUGCGGAUGGAUGGUUACAUACUUACCUAUGAGGAUGAAAACCAUAUGGCAAGUGUCAUGUAAUGUACAUACCUGUAA